Molecule: long non-coding RNA, 869 nt
Filed under: Homo sapiens (human)
Lineage: Eukaryota; Metazoa; Chordata; Mammalia; Primates; Hominidae
Description: non-protein coding LINC01952:13
Source: RNAcentral
GCUUCUGAGACUUGUUUGGGGAGGUAAAGAGUGUUGGACGUGCUUCUCCUGGUGGGUUUUCACAGACUGUGAGGAUUUAUUCGUCUUAGAACGUGUGGAUCAGGAGGGCGCUGGGUUUCAAGGUUAGGCAGGCCUCAUGCUCAGCCGUAUUCUGGCGGACUGACUACCCUGACGUCCUCUCAGCGCGGACCCUGACAAGGUCCGCGGCAGGCUGAGGCGGGAGAAUCGCUUGAACCCCGGAGGCGGAGGUUGCAGUGAGCCGAGAUCGCGCCACUGCACUCCAGCUGGGCGACGCAUCGUCUCAAAACAAACAAACAAAAACAAAAGCUAUCAAUUGGCUACAUAUUGUUAUUUGUAUGACAAAUUCUUUUUCCUUUUUUAGAGAUGGAGUCCUGGGACUACAGGCGCGCGCCCCAAUGCCCAGCUAACUUUUGUAUUUUUAAUAGAGACGGGGUUUCUCCGUGUUGGUCAGGCUGGUCUCGAACUCCUGACCUCAGGUGAUCUGCCCCCCUUUGCCUCCCAAAGUACUGGGAUUACAGGCGUGAGCCACCGCGCCCGGCAUGUAUUACAAAUUCUAAGAACACGAAGAUAAUGGGGCCGGCUUGGUGGCGCGAACCUGUAGCCUCACCUACUGUCAAGACUGAGACAGGAGGAUCUCUUGAGCCCAGGAGGUCGAGGCUGCAGUGAGUCAUGAUCGCACCACUGCACUCCAGCUUGGGAGACAGAAUAUACCCUGUCUAAAAAAUAAUAAUAAAAAAAAAGGUUAAAAUUUGGAGGAUAACUCCCAGCUAGAAAGGAAGAAAAGCUCUAAAGUGGAAUCGCCUUCCCCCGGAAGCUGUUGUAAAAAUUAAAGGAUGUAUGUGAGUGCA